UACGGAGGGUGCAAGCGUUAUCCGGAUUUACUGGGUUUAAAGGGUGUGUAGGCGGGUCUUUAAGUCAGUGGUGAAAUCUCCGAGCUUAACUUGGAAACUGCCAUUGAUACUAUUGAUCUUGAAUUCUGUUGAGGUGGGCGGAAUAAGUCAUGUAGCGGUGAAAUGCAUAGAUAUGACUUAGAACACCAAUUGCGAAGGCAGCUCGCUAAACAGAUAUUGACGCUGAGGCACGAAAGCGUGGGGAUCAAACAGG
This 253-nucleotide ribosomal RNA is filed under the name uncultured bacterium. RNAcentral describes it as "partial 16S ribosomal RNA". It matches the Rfam family "Bacterial small subunit ribosomal RNA", at positions 524 to 776 of the family's 1533-position model. The record is from RNAcentral.